UCCCCAUAAAGUCUAGGCGGUUAGGAUAGCUGCUCUCACCCAGCAGACCCGGGUUCGAGUCCCGGUGUGGGAA
This 73-nucleotide transfer RNA is filed under the name Phytophthora infestans (potato late blight agent). RNAcentral's name for it is "tRNA-Val". It matches the Rfam family "tRNA". Rfam says of the family: Transfer RNA (tRNA) molecules are approximately 80 nucleotides in length. Their secondary structure includes four short double-helical elements and three loops (D, anti-codon, and T loops). The record is from RNAcentral. Lineage: Eukaryota; Oomycota; Peronosporomycetes; Peronosporales; Peronosporaceae.